GACGAACGCUGGCGGCGGGCUUAACACAUGCAAGUCGAACGGAAAGGCCCUGCUUUUUUGGUGUUCUCGAUUGGCGAACGGGUGAGUAACACGUGAGUAACCUGCCCUUGACUUUGGUGUAACUUCAGGAAACUGGGGCUAAUACCGUAUAGGAUCUCCUGCUGCGUGGUGGGGGUUGGAAAUUUUCGGCUGUUGGGGAUGGAUUCGCGGCUUAUCAGCUUGUUGGUUGGGUAGUGGCUUACCAAGGGUUUGACGGGUAGCCCGCCCGAGAGGGUGACCGGCGACCAUGCGCCUGCGAGACGGCCCAGACUCCUACGGUAGGCAGCAGUGGGGAAUCUUGCACAAUGGGCGGACGCCUGAUGCAGAAACGCUGCGUGCGGGAUGACGGUCUUCGGGUUGUAAAACGCUUUAGCCUGUGACGAAGCGUGAGUGACGGUAAUGAGUAAAGAAGCACCGGCUAACUACGUG
Molecule: ribosomal RNA, 468 nt
Filed under: uncultured bacterium
Lineage: Bacteria
Description: partial 16S ribosomal RNA
Rfam family: Bacterial small subunit ribosomal RNA
Source: RNAcentral